Molecule: ribosomal RNA, 433 nt
Filed under: uncultured bacterium
Lineage: Bacteria
Description: partial 16S ribosomal RNA
Rfam family: Bacterial small subunit ribosomal RNA
Source: RNAcentral
AGCGAACGCUGGCGGCAGGCCUAACACAUGCAAGUCGAACGGAUCCUUCGGGAUUAGUGGCGGACGGGUGAGUAACACGUGGGAACGUGCCCUUUGGUUCGGAACAACUCAGGGAAACUUGAGCUAAUACCGGAUGUGCCCUUCGGGGGAAAGAUUUAUCGCCAUUGGAGCGGCCCGCGUCUGAUUAGCUAGUUGGUGAGGUAACGGCCCACCAAGGCGACGAUCAGUAGCUGGUCUGAGAGGAUGAUCAGCCACACUGGGACUGAGACACGGCCCAGACUCCUACGGGAGGCAGCAGUGGGGAAUCUUGCGCAAUGGGCGAAAGCCUGACGCAGCCAUGCCGCGUGAAUGAUGAAGGUCUUAGGAUUGUAAAAUUCUUUCAGCGGGGACGAUAAUGACGGUACCCGGAGAAGAAGCUCCGGCUAACUUCGUG